Molecule: ribosomal RNA, 484 nt
Filed under: uncultured bacterium
Lineage: Bacteria
Description: partial 16S ribosomal RNA
Rfam family: Bacterial small subunit ribosomal RNA
Source: RNAcentral
AUUGAACGCUGGCGGCAGGCCUAACACAUGCAAGUCGAGCGGAUGAAGGGAGCUUGCGCCUGGAUUCAGCGGCGGACGGGUGAGUAAUGCCUAGGAAUCUGCCUGGUAGUGGGGGAUAACGUCCGGAAACGGGCGCUAAUACCGCAUACGUCCUGAGGGAGAAAGUGGGGGAUCUUCGGACCUCACGCUAUCAGAUGAGCCUAGGUCGGAUUAGCUAGUUGGUGGGGUAAAGGCCUACCGAGGCGACGAUCCGUAACUGGUCUGAGAGGAUGAUCAGUCACACUGGAACUGAGACACGGUCCAGACUCCUACGGGAGGCAGCAGUGGGGAAUAUUGGACAAUGGGCGAAAGCCUGAUCCAGCCAUGCCGCGUGUGUGAAGAAGGUCUUCGGAUUGUAAAGCACUUUAAGUUGGGAGGAAGGGCAGUAAGUUAAUACCUUGCUGUUUUGACGUUACCAACAGAAUAAGCACCGGCUAACUUCGUG